GACGAACGCUGGCGGCGUGCUUAACACAUGCAAGUCGAACGGUGAACCUCUUCGGAGGGGUUCAGUGGCGAACGGGUGAGUAACACGUGGGCAACCUGCCCCCGGCUCUGGGAUAACUCCAAGAAAUUGGGGCUAAUACCGGAUGUUCACCGCUUCCCGCAUGGGUGGUGGUGGAAAGGGUUUCCGGCUGGGGGUGGGCCCGCGGCCUAUCAGCUUGUUGGUUGGGUAGUGGCCUACCAAGGCGACGACGGGUAGCCGGCCUGAGAGGGUGACCGGCCACACUGGGACUGAGACACGGCCCAGACUCCUACGGGAGGCAGCAGUGGGGAAUAUUGCGCAAUGGGCGGAAGCCUGACGCAGCGACGCCGCGUGGGGGAUGACGGCCUUCGGGUUGUAAACCUCUUUCAGCAGGGACGAAGCGCAAGUGACGGUACCUGCAGAAGAAGCACCGGCCAACUACGUG
RNAcentral lists this ribosomal RNA (463 nucleotides) under uncultured bacterium. RNAcentral describes it as "partial 16S ribosomal RNA". It matches the Rfam family "Bacterial small subunit ribosomal RNA", at positions 28 to 507 of the family's 1533-position model. The record is from RNAcentral.